CUUGAUAUGACAGCUUAAUAAAUGUUGACAUCAACUUGGAAUUAUUCGACACAACGUACAAAAUCCAUCGUCGGUUCAUUAUUUUUUAGUCAAGCAAAUAUAUGUUCGCGGUGAUACUAAGUGACACCAGUUUCGUUACGUGCGUGUCUAGUGUAGUUGGAAUUAUUUGUUUACGUUCAAGUAAUUUUCAUACCGUGACAGCAUCAAAACCUUAACUUCGGCUACCGCUGUGUAGAUAAACUCAAAGACUAAACAAAGUUACAUUCAGAAGAGGCAGAGAAGAACAGAAUAAAGAAAAAUGGCGGAAAAGCAGCACCUGGACCAGAUGACGAACCCCUACCCAUCGUACGGGAGUAGCAACGGACCGGCCGCCCCUCUCCCAGUUAUUAAUACUCACCAGACUUCGGCUCCAACAGUGGCCCAAAUGGCCCCAUCUGAAGAGGAGCUGGACCCGAAUGAUAUCUACGCUCUUACUCCACAUAUCGAGAUUGCCUUUGAUGAUACCUUCAAGGAAUCGGAAACAGCAAGAGGGUUUGAAUUCAUGAAAGAUGUCAACCGCUCCAUAUACAGAUACACUCAGUUUUUCGUGUACGCCAGCCUGUCGCUGAUAAUAGCCCCGCUCAUGACCUUCAUGUGGAGUAUCGUCUUCGCUCUCAGCCACCUCCUCCUCAUCUGGUUCAUCCAGCCUGCGAUCAAGAACACCUUCAUCUGGUUCAGGGUGUUUAGCAUGCUGGUAUCGGCCUCAGUCCGCCUCUUCUUUGACCCCUGCUUCCAGUCGGCCGCCCUGAUCCUCUCGGGCAUCAAGGGCCGGUUUCAGCUGAACGACUCGCAGAUCACUCUCAACUUGAAGACAAGCCAGGUCCAGCACGUCUGAUUGCUUAAAGCCACACUGUCCUACGUGUAGCUACUUGCU
This is a long non-coding RNA of Strongylocentrotus purpuratus (purple sea urchin), 913 nucleotides long. RefSeq annotates it as caveolin-1. The record is from RefSeq and is a predicted model, not a curated record. Lineage: Eukaryota; Metazoa; Echinodermata; Echinoidea; Camarodonta; Strongylocentrotidae. The transcript has 4 exons.